GCCGCGGACGCCCCGGCUGCGGCUCCGCCUUUGUCGCAGCUGUCCCAGCCCUGCAGCUCCUGCGGUGCCGGAGCCGCUGCCCUCCGACCGUCCAGCUCGUCGUGCCGGAGGAGGAGCAGCAUCGCCGCGGCUCCAGGCACCGCCGGCAGCCUGUCCGACUUAAUAAACUAUAUUUUGGCUACGAGUUCAUGCUCUUCAACCAACAUGUCUUCUGGGGAAGCUAAUCGAUCAGGCAAUGAUACACAAGGACCUCCUCAGGACAGAAAUCAAUCCAAAAUUGACACCAUUGAAAAUUUGAGAAAGAAACUCCAGGCCCUUGAGAAAAAAAACUUGGAAUUAACCAGUCAACAUAGU
Long non-coding RNA from Ficedula albicollis (Collared flycatcher), 354 nucleotides. RefSeq lists it as uncharacterized. The transcript is spliced from 3 exons. The record is from RefSeq and is a predicted model, not a curated record. Lineage: Eukaryota; Metazoa; Chordata; Aves; Passeriformes; Muscicapidae.